Molecule: ribosomal RNA, 253 nt
Filed under: uncultured bacterium
Lineage: Bacteria
Description: partial 16S ribosomal RNA
Rfam family: Bacterial small subunit ribosomal RNA
Source: RNAcentral
UACGUAGGUGGCAAGCGUUGUCCGGAUUUACUGGGCGUAAAGAGCGCGCAGGCGGUCGUUCAAGUCGCGUGUGAAAGCCCCCGGCUCAACUGGGGAGGGUCACGCGAUACUGAUCGACUGGAAGGCAGGAGAGGGUAGUGGAAUUCCCGGUGUAGUGGUGAAAUGCGUAGAUAUCGGGAGGAACACCAGUGGCGAAGGCGACUACCUGGCCUGUUAUUGACGCUGAGGCGCGAAAGCUAGGGGAGCAAACGGG